This 225-nucleotide ribosomal RNA is filed under the name Triticum aestivum (bread wheat). RNAcentral describes it as "partial small subunit ribosomal RNA". Lineage: Eukaryota; Viridiplantae; Streptophyta; Magnoliopsida; Poales; Poaceae. The record is from RNAcentral.
AUGAGCAACUUAAAUCUUCUGAGUUGGAAUUGCCGAGGAGGAGGGAACCCUCGGACUGCUCGUGAUCUUGUGAGCUUGGUGCAGACCCAUUCUGCUAGUAUUGUUUUCCUUUGUGAAACUAGGCAAUCAAAAGAUAAAAUGAAGAGAUAUCGACCCCGUUUAGGUCUUGGUGGUUUUGAUGCAGUGGACAGUACCGGUCUAAGUGGAGGGUUAGCUCUCUACUAG